CACGUAGGGGCCAAGCGUUGUCCGGAUUUAUUGGGCGUAAAGAGCUCGUAGGCGGCUCGGUAAGUCAGGUGUGAAACCUCCAGGCUCAACCUGGAGACGCCACCUGAUACUGCUGUGGCUAGAGUCCGGUAGGGGAGCGUGGAAUUCCUGGUGUAGCGGUGAAAUGCGCAGAUAUCAGGAGGAACACCAGCGGCGAAGGCGGCGCUCUGGGCCGGAACUGACGCUGAGGAGCGAAAGCGUGGGUAGCAAACAGG
RNAcentral lists this ribosomal RNA (254 nucleotides) under uncultured bacterium. Its description in RNAcentral is "partial 16S ribosomal RNA". It matches the Rfam family "Bacterial small subunit ribosomal RNA", at positions 524 to 776 of the family's 1533-position model. The record is from RNAcentral.